CAUAGGAACCAAAUAUAGAACUCAACAAAGUCAUGAAAAUCGAAAGUGGAACAGAACUAUUCUUUUACAUGAAGGGGACAGAGAAGCGCUACGACCCAUCGGAAUAUCACUUUGAAAUCAUAUUUAUAUUCAACUUGUCCAGAGCAAUCACUAAUAACAAUGCUUAAUCUACAAUGACUGAAAUAAAUCCUUUAACUGCCAUAAGUGAUGUGAACAACUCAUUUUAAAUGAAAGAAAGUUUAGACAACAAAAAUAUGAAAGACAAAAACAAGAUGUGCAGUCAAGCCAGUGAAGUUUCCACAGACGCUAAAGAGGUCACUUCAUAGAAUGCAAAAAAAGGUCUCUCUUCCAACCAUCAAAUGUAACUAUUGAAAUAGACUCAAAAUCCAAAAAGAAGACUCACACAGGCUACAAAAUCGAUGACCAAACCAAUACUCUCCUCUUGAAAGAAAAAUGUGAUUGAAGACCAUCUACAUUAAUUUUGUAACAAAAGGAAGUCAUGCAAUGUAUUUCUUUUAUAGCUAUGAAAGAAGGGGGGAAAAUGUUCUGCCUAUGUAUAGGAACCUAAUGGUAAGUCUAUUUGUAUGUCUCCCGAAUAGCAAUAAAUUACUAUGACAUUAAGAGGUUCUUGUAAAUAUUUCAAUUUCCUAUUUAUCCUUCUGAAUACAUACACUACGAACUAAGAUCAAUUGAGAAAGAUAUAUACUAAUUAAAAUAUUGUUUUUGUUUGAAAUGAUUUUUGUUGACUUUUUGUCCAAGUCUUAUUUGAUAGUCAUAGUUCUAAUUUGAA
Molecule: long non-coding RNA, 790 nt
Filed under: Olea europaea (common olive)
Lineage: Eukaryota; Viridiplantae; Streptophyta; Magnoliopsida; Lamiales; Oleaceae
Description: long non-coding RNA (OEUR_LNC013879)
Source: RNAcentral